GUUUGACCUCAAAUCAGGUAGG
Molecule: ribosomal RNA, 22 nt
Filed under: Nakaseomyces glabratus
Lineage: Eukaryota; Fungi; Ascomycota; Saccharomycetes; Saccharomycetales; Saccharomycetaceae
Also listed under: 1 other name
Description: [Candida] glabrata partial 28S ribosomal RNA
Source: RNAcentral